Molecule: ribosomal RNA, 497 nt
Filed under: uncultured bacterium
Lineage: Bacteria
Description: partial 16S ribosomal RNA
Rfam family: Bacterial small subunit ribosomal RNA
Source: RNAcentral
GAUGAACGCUGGCGGCGUGCCUAAUACAUGCAAGUCGAGCGAACAGACGAGGAGCUUGCUCCUCUGACGUUAGCGGUGGACGGGUGAGUAACACGUGGAUAACCUACCUAUAAGACUGGGAUAACUUCGGGAAACCGGAGCUAAUACCGGAUAAUAUGUUGAACCGCAUGGUUCAACAGUGAAAGACGGUUUUGCUGUCACUUAUAGAUGGAUCCGCGCCGCAUUAGCUAGUUGGUAAGGUAACGGCUUACCAAGGCAACGAUGCGUAGCCGACCUGAGAGGGUGAUCGGCCACACUGGAACUGAGACACGGUCCAGACUCCUACGGGAGGCAGCAGUAGGGAAUCUUCCGCAAUGGGCGAAAGCCUGACGGAGCAACGCCGCGUGAGUGAAGAAGGUCUUCGGAUCGUAAAACUCUGUUAUUAGGGAAGAACAAAUGUGUAAGUAACUAUGCACGUCUUGACGGUACCUAAUCAGAAAGCCACGGCUAACUACGUG